AAGUCGUAACAAGGUUUCCGUAGGUGAACCUGCGGAAGGAUCAUUAACACGUAUCCACGUAUCAACCAACUGUGAACUUGUUUUCAACUCUCCCUGCCUGACUACAUGAAUUGAAUGAAAAGAGACUAUGAAAUGGGGAGUACGCUUCAUUGCGAUUCCAAUCUCGAUUCAUAAAUUGACACACUUCAUUGUGUGCCUAACAAUUGUAGUAGUUUAUGGUCAGGUCAACCCUUUCUACUUGUAAGUUUCUCCUUUCAUGGAACUUUCGAGUGGGAAAAUCAACACACCUAUUUCACCCCCUUUUUGCUAGUUGACUUUUAUAUGUUGUUUUUUCUGCUGCUUAAUUGCACGGAGGAUUCACACGUUUAUUAUUUGAACGUUAAAAUUACAACUCUUAGCAAUGGAUAUCUUGGUUCUC
Molecule: unclassified non-coding RNA, 418 nt
Filed under: fungal sp.
Lineage: Eukaryota; Fungi
Description: partial internal transcribed spacer region
Rfam family: Eukaryotic small subunit ribosomal RNA (bases 1-46)
Source: RNAcentral